CGGAAGUAGUUCAGUGGUAGAACAUCACCUUGCCAAGGUGAGGGUCGCGGGUUCGAAUCCCGUCUUCCG
This 69-nucleotide transfer RNA is filed under the name Aerococcus urinae. It matches the Rfam family "tRNA". Rfam says of the family: Transfer RNA (tRNA) molecules are approximately 80 nucleotides in length. Their secondary structure includes four short double-helical elements and three loops (D, anti-codon, and T loops). Lineage: Bacteria; Bacillati; Bacillota; Bacilli; Lactobacillales; Aerococcaceae. RNAcentral also lists the same sequence under 1 other name. The record is from RNAcentral.